CCUACGGGAGGCAGCAGUGGGGGAUAUUGCACAAUGGGGGAAACCCUGAUGCAGCGAAGCCGCGUGGGUGAAGAAGCGCCUCGGCGCGUAAAGCCCUGUCAGCAGGGAAGAAAAUGACGGUACCUGAAGAAGAAGCCCCGGCUAACUACGUGCAAGCAUCGGCGGUAAUAAGUAGGGGGCAAGCGUUAGCCGGCUGUACUGGGUGUAAAGGGGGCGCAGACGGCGAGACAAGCCAGGAGUGAAAGCCCGGGGCCCAACCCCGGGACUGCUCUUGGAACUGCGUGGCUAGAGUGCAGGAGGGGCAGGCGGAAUUCCUGGUGUAGCGGUGAAAUGCGUAGAUAUCAGGAGGAACACCGGUGGCGAAGGCGGCCUGCUGGACUGCAACUGACGUUGAGGCCCGAAAGCGUGGGGAGCAAACAGGAUUAGAUACCCUGGUAGUC
Molecule: ribosomal RNA, 440 nt
Filed under: uncultured bacterium
Lineage: Bacteria
Description: partial 16S ribosomal RNA
Rfam family: Bacterial small subunit ribosomal RNA
Source: RNAcentral